RNAcentral lists this ribosomal RNA (388 nucleotides) under Syndiniales sp. Its description in RNAcentral is "partial small subunit ribosomal RNA". It matches the Rfam family "Eukaryotic small subunit ribosomal RNA", at positions 582 to 975 of the family's 1831-position model. Lineage: Eukaryota; Dinophyceae; Syndiniales. The record is from RNAcentral.
AUUCCAGCUCCAAUAGCGUAUAUUAAAGUUGUUGCGGUUAAAAAGCUCGUAGUUGGAUUUCUGUCGAAGACUUCUGGUCCAUACCAUGUAUGUGUAUCUAGAAAUGCUUUGGCAUCCUCUCGGUGCCCGUCGCCGCCUUAAUUGCGUGGUACGGUGCCCGAGACUUUUACUUUGAGGAAAUUAGAGUGUUCACGGCAGGCAAUCGUCAUGAAUAUAUUAGCAUGGAAUAAUCAUAUAGGACCUAGGGUUCUUUUUGUUGGUUUCAGAAUUUUAGGUAAUGAUUAAUAGGGACAAUUGGGGGCAUUCGUAUUGUCACGUCAGAGGUGAAAUUCUUAGAUUGUGAUACGACGAACUAAUGCGAAAGCAUUUGCCAAGGAUGUUUUCAUCA